CUAAAUACUCGUGAUCGACCGAUAGUGAACCAGUACCGUGAGGGAAAGGCGAAAAGAACCCCGGGAGGGGAGUGAAAUAGAUCCUGAAACCGUGUGCAUACAAACAGUAGGAGCCUGUAUUAAUACGGGUGACUGCGUACCUUUUGUAUAAUGGGUCAGCGACUUACAUUCAGUGGCGAGGUUAACCGAAUAGGGGAGCCGAAGAGAAAUCGAGUCCGAACAGGGCGAGAGUCGCUGGGUGUAGACCCGAAACCAAGUGAUCUACUCAUGGCCAGGAUGAAGGUGCGGUAACACGCACUGGAGGUCCGAACCCACUAACGUUGAAAAGUUAGGGGAUGAGCUGUGGGUAGGGGUGAAAGGCUAAACAAACUUGGAGAUAGCUGGUUCUCUCCGAAAACUAUUUAGGUAGUGCCUCAAGUAUCACCAUUAGGGGUAGAGCACUGUUAUGGCUAGGGGGUCAUCGCGACUUACCAAACCAUUGCAAACUCCGAAUACUAAUGAGUGCGAGCUUGGGAGACAGACAUCGGGUGCUAACGUCCGGUGUCAAGAGGGAAACAACCCAGACCGCCAGCUAAGGUCCCAAAGAUUGGCUAAGUGGAAAACGAAGUGGGAAGGCUAAAACAGUCAGGAGGUUGGCUUAGAAGCAGCCAUCCUUUAAAGAAAGCGUAAUAGCUCACUGAUCGAGUCGUCCUGCGCGGAAGAUGUAACGGGGCUAAGCCAGUCACCGAAGCUGCGGAUAUCCGUAAGGAUAUGGUAGGAGAGCGUUCUGUAAGCCUGAGAAGGUGUGUUGAGAAGCAUGCUGGAGGUAUCAGAAGUGCGAAUGCUGACAUGAGUAGCGAUAAUGGGGGUGAAAAGCCCCCACGCCGUAAGCCCAAGGUUUCCUGUUCAACGUUCAUCGGAGCAGGGUGAGUCGGCCCCUAAGGCGAGGCAGAGAUGCGUAGCUGAUGGGAAGCAGGUUAAUAUUCCUGCACCGUCGUUAGAUGCGAUGGGGGGACGGAUCGCGGAAAGUCGUCCGGGUGUUGGAAAUCCCGGUUAUUGAUUCGAAGGAGGCUACUAGGCAAAUCCGGUAGCGUAAUCCAAGGAAUUGAAACGAGUGGCCUUGUGCCGCGAAGCGAUUGGAAGUGGUUCCAAGAAAAGCCUCUAAGCUUCAGUCUAACGAGACCGUACCGCAAACCGACACAGGUGGGCGAGAUGAGUAUUCUAAGGCGCUUGAGAGAACUCGGGAGAAGGAACUCGGCAAAUUUGUACCGUAACUUCGGGAUAAGGUACGCCCUUGUAUCUUGACUGGCCUGCGCCAGAAGGGAGAAGGGGUUGCAAAAAAAUGGUGGCUGCGACUGUUUAAUAAAAACACAGCACUCUGCUAACACGAAAGUGGACGUAUAGGGUGUGACGCCUGCCCGGUGCUGGAAGAUUAAAUGAUGGGGUGAGAGCUCUUGAUUGAAGUCCCAGUAAACGGCGGCCGUAACUAUAACGGUCCUAAGGUAGCGAAAUUCCUUGUCGGGUAAGUUCCGACCUG
Molecule: ribosomal RNA, 1516 nt
Filed under: human gut metagenome
Description: bacterial LSU rRNA
Rfam family: Bacterial large subunit ribosomal RNA
Source: RNAcentral